GACGAACGCUGGCGGCGUGCUUAACACAUGCAAGUCGAACGCUAAAGCUUGGUGCUUGCGCUGUGUUCAUGUGGCGCGCACGUGUGUGUAAUACGUGUGUAAUCUGCCCUUGACUCGGGUAUAUUCCUGGGAAACGGGCUCUUACACGGUAUACGCCACUUCUGCGCGUGGGGGGUUGUGGAGAUUCGUUCGGUGGUUUUGGAUGGGCUCGCGGCCUAUCAGUUUGUUGGUGGGGUAGUUGCUCACCAAGGCAUUGACGGGUAGCCGGCCUGAGAGGGUGACCGGCCACACUGGGACUGAGAUACGGCCCAGACUCCUACGGGAGGCAGCAGUGGGGAAUAUUGCACAAUGGGCGGAAGCCUGAUGCAGCAACGCCGCGUGAGGGAUGACGGCCUUCGGGUUGUAAACCUCUUUCACCAGGGAAGAAGCGAGAGUGACGGUAAUUGGAAAAGAAGCGCCGGCUAACUACGUG
This 472-nucleotide ribosomal RNA is filed under the name uncultured bacterium. Its description in RNAcentral is "partial 16S ribosomal RNA". It matches the Rfam family "Bacterial small subunit ribosomal RNA", at positions 28 to 507 of the family's 1533-position model. The record is from RNAcentral.